UGCCUUUCUUUUCCUUCAGGUCACAGAAUUCAGUUACAAUGGGGAACGUUUUUGAAAAACUGUUUAAAAGUCUAUUUGGGAAAAAAGAGAUGCGGAUUCUUAUGGUGGGUUUGGAUGCCGCUGGAAAAACCACCAUCUUAUAUAAAUUGAAGCUGGGAGAGAUUGUGACUACCAUCCCUACGAUAGGUUUCAACGUGGAGACGGUAGAAUAUAAAAACAUCAGCUUCACAGUCUGGGAUGUUGGUGGCCAGGACAAAAUCAGACCUUUGUGGCGACAUUAUUUCCAGAACACACAAGGUCUGAUUUUUGUGGUCGACAGUAACGACAGAGAGCGGGUCAAUGAAGCCCGAGAAGAACUAACCAGAAUGUUAGCAGAAGAUGAGCUCAGAGAUGCAGUUUUAUUGGUGUUUGUAAAUAAACAGGAUCUUCCCAAUGCUAUGAACGCAGCAGAGAUAACGGACAAGCUUGGCUUACAUUCCCUCCGCCAGAGAAACUGGUACAUUCAGGCUACCUGUGCCACCAGUGGAGAUGGGCUUUACGAAGGCCUGGACUGGCUCUCCAACCAGCUCAAAACCCAGAAGUGACGGGAAGUGCUGCGUUCCCUGUGCGUCGUGGCAAAGUCAGCUGGCCUCUGCUGUGUGCGUGUGUGCGUGGGAGGAGCUGAGUGUGGGUGCGUGGCCGGGCGUGGGAGCAGCUUUCUCACAUGGUGCCUUAUACGCCCUCUAAGGAAACCAGUCCUACAUGGUACAAACAAGCAGUGUUUGCAUUUUAUAUGCUCCCUUCCAUUUCCAUAGCUUUGGCGACCAGUUUUGCAGUCGACGGAGGAGUCACGAGGGCUCCCUGGUGCCCGAUAGCCAGAGUGGUCUUCGUGGUGGGAAGAAGGGGGAGGGUGAGCCGUGGACUGACUUCCUUGGUGUGGUUCUAGUCCAGGUCUGGGGGUCUCUGCACACCUGGGGGUCCUGUUAGACUUGGCAUCCUUUCGUAAAUAGGAAGGAACUGUCAUUCUUUCCCAUCACUGCCAGAGCUAGCAGCUCACUUUUCAGUGCUUUAAAGCAAAUGAUCCUCAAAGACAAAAAGGCCCUUGCUUACCGCAGAUGUUAAGUUGUUAAGAUGUUAAGGUGUUAAGAUCUGAGCUUAAGUUAUUUUCUAGCCCAGACACCCUGGUUUAAUGUACUUCAUUGGGAGGAAUCAGUGAUCUUUUUUCAUUAGAAAAAACCCCCGUAACAGGAGAAAUCAUCUAGUCCUUCCCUUCCUUGCCUCGUAUUUGCCAAAUGGAGACCCUUUUGGGGUAGGAACCCAGCGCACGGCCGAGGCUCUUUACCGAAGCCGCGCCGCCGCUCACAGGGCCGGGUUAAGGCGGGGAGGCGCCGUCGUGUUUGUGUCCCUACAUCGCUGUCUCCUGAGGCUGCCGCUCCCACGCCUCUGCGCUGAGUGUUCUCCGCUCGAAGCAGGAGCUUCGCUCCCGGGAUGGAAUCGUCACCGUGUACAGUAUCUUAGCCCAUCCUGCAGUUUAGGUUAGCUGUGUUCCCAGAACCACACACCUGUGAGUUCUGAGAGUUUGUGAGAGAAUCAAGAUGUUCAUUCGGGGAACGAGACUCCCAGCAGCCGAGUCGGUUGGUGCUAAAUUUUGCUAUGAAGAAUGUCUCGUCCAGACCACUCUCCGUGGCACUGACUCCCUCUCUGGUUGGCAAUAGUGUCUUCCGUGGAAACGUGCUUUACGUUGUCCUCAAAAUCGUCACAAUGGCCUGGAAAUGAGCUGGAUUCACUCAAUAGUCUAGAGCUCUUUUGCCCAGGCAGCUGUUGGCCACAUUUGUACCCAAGCUGUUCCACUACUACCUUCUAAAAUUCCUUUUUUCAAAAAAAAAUCUUCAUUUCAGAUUACAGAGGAGGAGAAUGUAAGAUGAAUUUUAACAAAAGUAAACCUUGUUUACUGAUAACAAUGAAGUUGCUCUUACUGGGAAGAAAUUUCAUGCCAUGAUAAAUGCGGAGUUUUUUCUUUAAAACAUUGACUUUAAAGGAUGUUCCUUGCAAUACUGGCAACGAAGUCCAGAUUUGAUUUUUAACCAUGGAGUUAAGUCCUGAGAAAGAUUUAGAUUGUAUGCCUCAGACUGGCAGGGACUGUGUCUUAGACUUUUGUGUUUAUGCUUUUGGUACCGUGUAUGUGGUACAGUGCUGUGCCUCAUUCAACACUUGUUGAUUGGUUGGACAGUAAAGAACUUGCCCUGGAGGAGGAGAGGACAGCCAUGUGCUUCUGGAUGUCUCGAGCUACUACUUUAAAAUCCCUUUCCCUCUCCAUCUUAGCAGACUUGCUAUUGAAAACUCCCAGGGCACUUGUACCAAAGGCAGAACCCACAGAGGUGCUGUCCUGGCCCUUCUGCUUUUAGCAGUGCUCUCCAUUCUUACCUUACGUGACACUUUCAACCACUGUCUUUCUGUGAAUUUGGAGCUGGUCAUUUGCGGUUUAUGGGGGGGCACUUCAGUGUAGUGGGUUUGAGCAAAGACUGGGUCCCUGAAAGCCAUGUUCACGUCCCGGCUGUGUCCUCACUAGCUGCUUGGCCUCAGGCCUGUUACUCUUUGACUCUGUAUCUCUGAGCCUCAGUUUGCUUAACUCUUAAAUGAGGAUAAUACCUACCUCAUAGGGUUGUGAGACCUUUGUAUGCCUUGCCUGGUGUUUCCCUGGGGGAUAUCUUGAUGUCUAAGGUGUGAACAGCAGUGCUGGCCACAAACUGAUCAGUAUUAUUUACAGGAGCAGUGAAGUGGGAUGGGAUGGGGGGCUAUGUUUAAUCUUUCGCACUCUAUUCACCUAAUCCUGCUGAAUCCUCUGUUCUUUUCUAACCAUAAGACCAUUUGGGAUGCUUGUUUAAAAGACCAUAUUGCUGUGUCCCACACUCACUGUUUUUCUUUUUCUUUUUUUUUCUUAAGUGUGAUUUUUAGCAUAUUCCCAGAGUUGUGCGACCACCCUACUAAUUUUAGACUAUGGUCAUCACCCCCAGAAGAAACCCUGGAUCCAUGAGCAUCCAAUGCCUAUUCCUCCCUUCCCCAUGGCCCCCCUGGCCACCACUAAUUUACUUCCUAUUUCUGUGGAUUCACCUAUUCUGGGCAGGUGAGGGACCUGGGGAGCUGGUGGGUGCUUUGGGAAGUGCUGAGGUGCUGUUGGUCGGAACACAGCUUCAGUCCUGAGGCAUCAGCCUGAUGACAGAUGAGGCAGAGCCCCAGGGAAAAGACUGCCCCAGAGUUAGGUGACUGGAAUUUAUUACCUUGAGAGGGAAAGAGGUGCUUCUAAUAAUUAUGCAGGGACAUGGGGCAUAAAAGGGGAUGUAUGGUCGCCCUAUCAAUCGGAAUGGCGAGAGCUCUGAAUCUGGAAUCAAAGGCCAAGGCUGAAAUUCGAGCUCUGCUCGUUCGCUAGCUGGAUUCAACUGGACUCAACCUCUGACUCCCAAUUUCCUUGCCUGGGAAGGAAGUUCCCAGAGCCGUACUCCAGCACAGUUUUCAUUCAACAAACACGUAUGAAGGGCCUGCCACAUGCCAGACACUGGGGAGGGGAGGGUUUGGGGCCACAGAGAUGGAAUAUACAGUGAGCCCUGGACAGGACUCUCCAAAGCUGUGAUCUGUCCACCCUGCUGCUGUUUUUACCAUUGCUACCAUGGAGCCGGUCGCCCGGGCCCUGAAGACUGGUCCAGCCCAGCCCCCAUAGAGACAGGGCUGCCCCCGCCCUUAGACUCCCUGGAGAGCUGGCGAUUCUGCGGAGGGGCAGGGGGCAGCAGAGGUAAGCGUCUGGCUGGGAAUGAAUGGGGCUGGUGGCUGACAGCACGGGCCGUCAGAUCCGGAGCUCCUCAUCCAGGGACAGCGUGCCUCUGCCCUGCUAAUGACAGAACUGUCACUCACAGGACACCAUGGAAUCAUGCAGGACCAGACACGGCUGUCUCUCCCCUGACAGGGUGACACAUGUCACGGGGGCCUGGGGAGCUCCGAGGGGAGAGUUGGGAUACCCUCCCCCCAAUCGGGUCACACAGAAAUGUCCUUACACACCUCAGUGCCUUUGCACAGGCCGUUCGCUCUGCCAAGCCUGCCCUCUCCUACCUCGGGCCUUCUCCAUCCAAUGGUGACUCACGUGUCAUUCAAGGCUUGGUUCCCGGGUCACCUCCUCCGGGAAGCCUUCAGUGCCCCAGGAUGGAAGGAAUCCCUACCUUCUCCGCGCUGCUCUGUCGUCCACAGUGGUCACGGUUCCUCUUUUUGGUUGGUGAUCAGCUGGUUUCAGUUCCUGUCCUUCAUAUUGCCGAUGUUUCUCGAGGUCUUGGUUAUCCUUUGCAGUCCACUAAUAUUUAAGAGUAAAGUAUUAAGAAGCCAUCUGGACAUUCUCUGCACGGGUGUCAUUUGUCAGUUGAUGAGCUUCACCAUAGGAGCUCUGUAGAGGCCAUUUCUUUGGGGUUCCCCAAAUGUCAGUAGCGGGUCUUUUCGAGGGGCCAUUCAGUCUCUCCAAAGAAGGAUCAAGCAACUGCCUCUCUGGGGUGGGGGUGGAUGAAUGCGGUGGCACCGUGCAAAUCAGUUGCCAAUAUCCUUGGAGCUGUGUGGCACUGGGGACUGGGGGUACAACCAUUUGUAGAUAGGCUUUCAUUUAGUCCUCCUAUUUUCCCUCUGGUGCCUGUCUCCUCUACUGUUCCUGUUGAUUUGGGCUUUUUUUUUUUUUAAGAGGUAUUUAAGUUUUUAAAAUUAAUUAAUUUAUUUAUUUUUGGCUGUGUUGGGUCUUUGUUGCUGCGUGCAGGCUUUCCCUAGCUGCAGCGAGCGGGGGCUACUCUUCAUUGAGGUGCGCGGGCUUCCCACCGCGGUGGCUUCUCUUAUUGCAGAGCACGGGCUCUAGGCAUGUGGGCUUCAGUAGUUGUGGCACACGGGCUCAGUAGUUGUGGCUCACGGGCUCUAGAACGCAGGCUCAGUAGUUGUGGCGCACAGGCUUAGCUGCUCCACGGCAUGUGGGAUCUUCCCGGACCAGGGAUCAAACCCGUGUCCCCUGAAUUGGCAGGUGGAUUCUUAACCACUGUGCCACCAGGGAGGUCCCGAUUUGGGCUUUAGACUCAAUUUCUCCACUGAAUAAACCCCCUGCUGGGGUAGGGAAAGGUGAUCGAUCACCUAGCUGCACCAAAUGGGUGUGGGGACCUUGGGCAUCUUUCUACUGAUCCCCCAGUUUCCAGCUGGGCUGAACUUGUCCAGUUUUCAUUUCUACAACUCAUCCUUGUCUUUUGCGGUCCCCGGUCGGUGCCUGCAAUCCCUGUGUCUUGCCAAGAUUCCACAGCUUGAACUGGCUCCAUCCUCAUUAGCACCACCCCCCCCCCGCCCCCGUGUAGGCACAUGGUAUUCAGAUUUCUCAGCUCUGAUCAUUCCUCCACCUGCUUUCCAUCUUCCAAAAAUCUGUUGACGUCUUUUGCCUUCUGCUAGUUUUUUUUUCUCUUAUUCUUUUCAUUCUUGUGGGCUUAUACCUUUUUUAUACCUUGACGCGCAUUUUAGUGGAGUUUCAGAAAGAAACAAUGAUAAAUCCAUGUGCUUGAUUUGCCAGGUUUAACCUGUGGGAUUAAAGAUUUUUCAUGCUAUAUUGUGUUUUUGCAGCUAUAGACAUAAGGAAAAACAAGAGGAGGUCUCCUGUGUUCUAUACCAAAUAUGUUACAGAGUCUCUUCUUAUCAGAGCGAUCUUUCGAAUCUGGGUCACUGGUUCUUAAAAAAGAUGCGGGAAGCUGAGGGAAAUCCUGAGAAAGGAGCCUGAGACGAUCAAAGGGAUGAACUUUGGAUCCAGGGGAACGUUUGAAGGUGUUGGUGAUGUUUAACUGGGAGAGGAGGUUCAGGGAUGGUUUAGUGAUUCAUUUGAAUUCAUUUUCCUUAAAGUGAUUUCUGUCCCGAUGCAUCCCCCGCUCUCCUACUUUGUGUUCGUGUGAACUUCUAAGUUGCCAUGGAAGAGGCAACCUAAACUUGAGAGGGUGGGGGUUGGGGGGGAGAGACCAAGACUGUAUUAAUCAGGAUAGGUUAGGCUACGCUGCGGUAAUAAUUCAAUGCUGGAAUUUCAGUGUCUUAGCACAGUAAAGGUUCAUUCCUCUCUCAUUUCGCCAUCUUGUCCCUGCUUGGUAGCGCCCUCCAGGAGGUGGCUCGGGGACCCAGGCUCCAUCCAUCUCACAGCUGUAUCAUGUGGAAUACACAUUUUUCCCAAGGUUCUCCAGAAGGGGAGAAAGAACUGGAAGAUCAUGCAAGAUGUUUUUAAGGGCUGAGACUGGAAGGGGUUUAUAUCACUUUUACCCAUAACCAUUGGCCAGAACUCUGUCAUAUGGUCCCACGUUACCUGUAUGGGAGGAUGGGAAAGGAGGUCUUCCUGUGUGCUCUGGAGGAGGAUGCAGUGUUUUAAGGAUGUUGCAUUGUCUUUGCCUUCUGUUUACUAGGUUUUCUGAGGGAGAUGCCAAUAUUCUUAGGGGAAGGGGAAGUAUGGACUGUAUCCACAAAGCCUGAAAGGAGGGAAUGAUAUUCAAUUAAAGUAGGAGGCAGCAGUCAGACUUAAAGAGAACUUUCUUGAUUCUAAGGGAAUCAAACAUUAGAAAGGGCAAUUGAGAGGUGACAUCUACCUUUGCAGAUUCCUGAGAAAAGAGUUCCUGGGAGUUGAUGGAUCUACCUGCUUGAGGGAUGAACCAGAUAAUCUUUUGGAAUUCCAUCUAAUGCUGGGAUUCUCCUUUCAAAUAUGCAGGCCUCAGAGUUUGUAAAGCUGGAGAACAAGGACCAGGGGUGGAUCCAGGUUUUGUGAAGCCUGAAGUUUAUACCACUUUGGGUGCAAGUAGAGGGCCUCAAGCAUAAACUUAUUAGCUUUCUGAUAAGUCCUCCUCUGGCCAGGAGAGGCCCAUUGUUCACUGGAACCAAUAGAUUCCAACACACCUUCCCCCAACAGACUUGCUCUUCCAGAUUCUAGAUCACCCUCAUGAUUUUUUCCUAGCUCUUUAACUGAGCAAAAAGUCGUUGAAUGCAUACCGUGUACAAGGCACGGGGCUGGGCCCUUCAAUAUCUGCCUCUGUCACAGGGCUGAGUUGGGCAUCAGCCCAGGGGUUGUCGGUCCUGAUUUGAGAAGCUCCUGGGUCUGUGCAGGCAGCUUCAGGGCAAAGGAGGAGGAGGAGGACGGGCACAGAAAGCCAGAAGGGAGAGCAGGGCCACAUGUGACCUGAGGACACGGGCAUUCAUCUGUGGACGUCAAAGCCCUGUGCUUGGAGGAGAAAUCCAUGCUGCUCUCUGUCUUGCUUCUAAAAGGAAAUGUUCCUGCAGAAGCCUGCUGUGGAUUGGGAGGCUCGGCUGUUUCCUGCGGCCCCCCGCCCCCGCCCCGUCAGACACAUCACUCCUCUCUAGGGGCCGAAGUAGAGUGUCACCGCAAAGAGUCAGCAGUCUGCGCUCAGACACUUGGUCUGGAGCCCAGCUGUCAGCCCUGUCCCCACUGCUAUCCCCGGCACUGUCUGGGCCUUUCUGAGCUGAUCGAACUGCGGUGUCUGGGAAACUCCAGAGCAAUGCUAAGUCCUGUAUACAACCUCCAAGUGUUUUAUUUUCUCUUAGAAUUUUUAACCAGCAGAGUCACAAACCAGCAGUGGUUUCUAGUCAGAAGACCAGGCCACUGAUUUGCUGGACAACUUGACAGACACUUUCAUCUCCCUGGGCCUCUUUUUCCUCAUCUGUAAAAUUGAGAAAAUAACCCCUGUGAAGGGCGAUUUUGGUCACGGUGGCCAAUGUCACUAUGGGUCUGGGGGACGGGAGGGGACAUUGACAUCUCAUAGUUUAUCCUUUGGUCCAGCCGCACAGGUGCUAGCCAGGGGUCCCCAUCAGUUAGGUAGAAUGGAGGCAAUUGGGCAGGUAGGGUUCUUGGAAGGCCCAAAUUUCCUUUAUGGUUUGUGACGUUCUCACAUGGUUUGCACCGGGCCGUGGUCUGGCAAGGCUGGACGGAAGGAAUAAAAACAAUCAACUUCCUUAAAGUGACUUGCUUGGAAAUUUUUACCUGGAGACACACUGUACUGAACAGACCUGAAAAAGCAUUUUGGAAGCCUUCCUAAUGAAGCAAAUGCAAAACAACUCACGUUAGAUAUACCUCCAUGGAAGAGGACUAUUAGGGGAAGAAGAGAGGUUUUCUCAGGCGGAGAAGGUGGGCCGAGGAGGAGGCGGGGGAGAUGUCGGAGUGGCCAGAGAAGGCGUGGGGAGGCUGAUUUGGGGUCCCCUCCAGGGUUCACUAUGACACCAAUUUCUACCCAGAAGCCCCAGAGCCCCGCCCUCUGCUGUUUACACUAGUUGCUUCCCAAACUUCUUGGGUGGACGUCUAAUUUGGGGUCUAAAUGACUUUGGGGCUUCAUUGAUGGACUUUGGGGGAUGCCAAACCAUUGAUAUAUGCAAAUUUCCUGUACGUGAAAAAGUUUCACGUGGCUGGGCUUCGAAUUUUUUCUGCAAAGAGGGGCCUGACUUUUCUCCCGAUUCUCCCACGGGUCGGGACCCAGGACAGAAACCCUCACUCUAGACCAGUGGUCCCCAACCUUUUUGGCACCAGGGAUCGGUUUCGUGGAAGAUAAUUUUUACACGGACUGGGGAGGGGUGGGGGAAUGGUUCAGGCAGUAAUACGAGCCUUGCGGAGCGGCAGAUAAAGCUUCGCUUGCCCUCCGCUCACCUGCUGCUGCGUGGCCCGGUUCCUAACAGGCUGCGGUACCAGUCCUGGGUGUUGGGGACCCUUGCUCUAGACCAUGCUGGGGGCCAGAGAAGGCGGGCAGCUGGUUCACUGGGAGGGUGGGAAAUAUAGGCCACUCCCAACUUUAGAGGGAGCUGGGGUACCCAAAGGAAGACGGAAACUUGAACCUCAGAACACAUUUUCCUCUAAGAGGCCUGCCCCUGUGGCAGUCAUGCUCGCUGGCAAGUAGCAAGAGCCUUCAAUGGAUGGACCCAUUCAGAGCCCCUGACUGGCACCCAAGGUGAGCCUGGGGCUGUGUUGGGUGUGGGGCACAGGAGGAAGAUUAGACAUGGUUCUUGUCUGCCCGUGUGGGACUCUCAAGUCUAGGGGCCUAGGUGCCCAGAGAAAUGACAAUACGAUGUGGUAAGUGCUAUAAAGGAAGGUAAAGAAAGGUCAGGCCACACCGAGGGAGGAAAGGUUAGCUCAGUCUGGAAGCUGGAAGGCCCCCUAGAAGUGGGAGUGCCACGGGCCUUAGGGCCUAAAAGACUGGGGUGUGAGACCAGGCUGUGUGACCUCUGAGAACCUCAGUUUCAUUUUCAGUGGAAUGUAAUGAGAACAAUUUAGAGUUGCUGGGAGAGUCAGAUGAAGUCAUGGUCACACAGCACCUCCCGGGAUUGGACCCUAGAGUGGGAUUUGGCUUUUGGAAAGACCUAGGAGCAGCACGGGCCGCGUGGGUAGAGGCAUGGCUCAGCAGGGUACAUUGCGCUGACUCAGCCAUGCUUCCCGCUGUGACUUGGAGAGACUGCUCCCUUUUGAUGGUUCUGCCCCCUGUGGACUCAAUGACUCAGCAAUUCUCGAUUCGAUGAUGCAGCAGUUCAAACAUUUGUGCAUACCGGUGAUUAAGCAAGAGGACUGUUUAUGAGAUAGGGCUACCGACAAUCAUAAUAAUUGUCGGUAACAAUGAUUGAGAGCUUCCUACGUGCCAGGCCCCGCAUGGUGUCUGUGGAUUAACUCAAGAUCAUUUGAUCAUACGAAGGGAAGAGAUUGGGACAACCCCCUCACCGGGGGCCUCCUGUCACCUUCGGUUCCAGUUCAUUCCUGCCCCGCCCCCAUUCUCACCCAAGCCUCCCCACCCCUGCCCCCCAUAAGCCAUGAUCCUCUCGUGAAAGUCCUAGGUCAGAGCCAGGAGGGACUCUGGAGAUGUGCCUCAUUUUAUAGAGCAGGAAACUAAAGCCCUUGAAAGGAAGGGAUGUGUUUUCUAGACCACAGAAAAAAGCCUCAGAGCCUAGCAGGUGCUGGAUGGAUCUAGGCAGGGGGCGGGGGUUAGCUUGAAUUUAAUGCCCACGUGAUCUGGGGUGGAGGUCUUCCGGGUGAGGUCAGACCGGUGAUACGCUGGGUGUCCCCGUGCUGCCCAGAUUCACAUCCGGGCCACUCUCCUUCCCAGCAGUCAUUGUCUUCAGUGACUCAGGCCACCUGGUUUCCCCUCAGGUCAAGCAGCUGAGGUGGGAGGCCCAGGCCUGUCCAGGGCUCCAUCUCAGGCCUUGUGGAUGCAGGAGACAUGGUCUGGGUGCCAUGGACACGGCGAUGCGUGAGGUGAUGGGAACUGCUCACUGCAACACUGUGUGAGGGACCAAACUGUCACCCACCUUGCGUCCAGCCUCAGUUCUUUUGGGGAUCUACCUAGGAGUGGAAUUGCUGGGUCAAAUGGUAACUCUGGGUUUACCUUUUGAGAAACUACUAAGCUGUGUUCCACAGAGGGUGCACCGUCUUACAUUCUCACCAGCAAAGUACAAAGGGUUCCAGUUUCUUCACAUCCUGGCCAACUUUUGCUAUUUUUAAAACAAGAUUCUUUUUCCUCUCUAACAGCGGCCCCUGCAGGGUCACCCCCAGCCCGUUUUGUUCUCUUUAGGACCUGAUCUCAAAUGGCCCCAUUCUCACUCCUGAGUCUCCUCAGCCCGAGUGUCGCUGCAGUAACUCAGGAACAAGGUGCUAAGGCAGCAGUUCUCAAAUUAGGCACAACAAGAUCCCCUGGAGGGCUGUUAAAACACACGCCGCUGAGCCCCACCCCUACAGUUUCUGAUUCCAGGGCUGCGGCCCUGGAAAAUGCAUUUCUAACAAAUUCCCAACUGGUGCUGAUACUACUGUCAGGGGACCGAUCUGAGAACUAGGCUUUAAGGUACUACUUUGCACGUUUUGUCCUAGGAGGUCCCUGCUUUGUUCUUUCCCCUCCUCAUUUAUAUAACAGUAGCACCCCCAUACCUCAAUUAUACUUUACACUCCCCCUCCCCCAGAUCUUGUGAGGCUGGAGGUAGGGAGGGGAGGGGAUAGGAGGGCAGUGAUUCUUCCUCUUCUUCAGUUCUCAGACCCUCAGCCCAUCUGCGCUGCUCCAUCUAGAAAGCGAGUGUCCCCUGGCUGACAGUAUCACAAACAUUGAGGUCCCAGUGUAGCCUUGGAUCAGCUUCAAUUGACGUUCCACUUUGGGUCUAUUCUUGGUGAGAGACUGAUACCUUAUUUAGUGUGUUAAAUGGCUGUUGGGAGUUGAGUGUGAUGAAGAUUGCCCUGGGAAUACUCCCCCGAGGCCUGGUGUGAGGGAAAAAGAACAAAAGCCUGGCCUCUCUUCUGGGGUGGAGGGCCUCUCAUCUGGGCUCUAGAACCUUCCACUGAAGCUCUGUCCGAGGCAGCCAGCUGCCAACCCCAGCUCCACUUCCUCUCCGCUUCCCUCCUCCCCUCCCCCCAACUCUAGCAUGGAGACCUUGACCAGCUCUUGGCUCCUGGAUUUGGCAAACAGAUUCCCGCAUCUCAGCUCCAGCCUGGAUGCCCACUUUGCGCUACAAAUCACUUCCUUUAUUUGGGCCUCUGUUUCCCCAUUGGUAAAAUGAAAGACUCGACUACAGCAAUGGUUUUCAAAGUGUGUCCCACAGAACCCAGGGUUCUGCUGAGGGUCAAGGUAUGUGUCAAAUCCAUCACCUCUGCUUAAUUAGAGUGGCCUCACUUGCCUUUAUGUCUUUGGGUUCUAUCUAAACAUCUUGAUCUCUGGUGGCCUCGGCCUGCAGCAUCUUGAAGCAGGAUUUCGGUUCCCUGGCCAGAGAUUGAAGUCGGGCUGCAGCAGCGAGGGCGCUGAAUCCUAGCCACCAGAUCACCAGGGACCAGUGGCCAGUGACGAUACCCUGACCUGUCGGCUUUGUAGAAAUGAAUUCCCACAAAGAGACAGAAAGUAGUGAAACAAGUAAAGUGUUUAUUAGAAGGAAAAUGGGUAUGUGUGAAUAGACACACAGGGGCGACUCAAAGAGAGAGUUGCGCCCUCGUGGUAGUUUGAAUCACUUAUAUGGGGCAUUUCUUCUGGGUUUUCUUUGGCCAAUCAUCUUGCUUUGCCUGGUUCUGAGUCCAUAUUUGGUUUAUCUCAGGAUCCUCCCCUGUGUACGUGUGCAUCUCUCAGCCAAGAUGGAUUCUAACGAAGAGGCCUAUGGGUAGGUUGACAUCACUUACUAUGGGGGAGGUUGAUGUCCCCUCCCUUUUUGACCUCCAAGGAGCCUUUCUGCGCAUGUGUAGUCAGGGAGGUCUCCUUGACUUUGAGAAUGAGAAAUAUGUGGUCUCUUAUCUGGGCAGGGCUCAGCUCCUCUCUCACUCUUGCUGUUAUGUUCAUCUUGGAGUAUCUUCAUCUUGGAGUAUCUGUCCACAGGGGACACUCCAGCUUCUCAGCCUGGGGCCCAUCUAUCUCCUGCCUCAAUCUCAUUUGGAAGACCAAAUUUCUGCUGCUGAAAAGUAGUUUGAAAAUCACCGGCUUAGAUGAUCUUGAAGGGUCUCCCCAUUCUGGUUUUAUCUUCUAUAUUCUGUAGUUCUUUGGCCUCUGUAUCUUUUUUCAAGUCCAACCUGUGUGUGACUCAGCCUUGAGAUUUUCCUUGAGCUUCUGAAAUUCGGUGCUCAGGAAGUGUGUUUCUUGCAGGACAGAGGUAGGGG
This is an RNA transcript of Physeter macrocephalus (sperm whale), 12610 nucleotides long. It is a transcript of the gene named ADP-ribosylation factor 2, with no coding region annotated. The record is from RefSeq and is a predicted model, not a curated record. The transcript is spliced from 6 exons. Lineage: Eukaryota; Metazoa; Chordata; Mammalia; Artiodactyla; Physeteridae.